GGGUGAGUAACACGUGGAUAGCCUACCUAUAAGACUGGGAUAACUUCGGGAAACCGGAGCUAAUACCGGAUAAUAUAUUGAACCGCAUGGUUCAAUAGUGAAAGACGGUUUUGCUGUCACUUAUAGAUGGAUCCGCGCCGCAUUAGCUAGUUGGUAAGGUAACGGCUUACCAAGGCAACGAUGCGUAGCCGACCUGAGAGGGUGAUCGGCCACACUGGAACUGAGACACCGUCCAG
RNAcentral lists this ribosomal RNA (236 nucleotides) under uncultured Staphylococcus sp. RNAcentral's name for it is "partial 16S ribosomal RNA". It matches the Rfam family "Bacterial small subunit ribosomal RNA", at positions 104 to 334 of the family's 1533-position model. Lineage: Bacteria; Bacillati; Bacillota; Bacilli; Caryophanales; Staphylococcaceae. The record is from RNAcentral.